Molecule: ribosomal RNA, 796 nt
Filed under: Escherichia coli
Lineage: Bacteria; Pseudomonadati; Pseudomonadota; Gammaproteobacteria; Enterobacterales; Enterobacteriaceae
Description: partial 23S ribosomal RNA
Rfam family: Bacterial large subunit ribosomal RNA
Source: RNAcentral
GGGACACGUGGUAUCCUGUCUGAAUAUGGGGGGACCAUCCUCCAAGGCUAAAUACUCCUGACUGACCGAUAGUGAACCAGUACCGUGAGGGAAAGGCGAAAAGAACCCCGGCGAGGGGAGUGAAAAAGAACCUGAAACCGUGUACGUACAAGCAGUGGGAGCCUCUUUUAUGGGGUGACUGCGUACCUUUUGUAUAAUGGGUCAGCGACUUAUAUUCUGUAGCAAGGUUAACCGAAUAGGGGAGCCGAAGGGAAACCGAGUCUUAACUGGGCGUUAAGUUGCAGGGUAUAGACCCGAAACCCGGUGAUCUAGCCAUGGGCAGGUUGAAGGUUGGGUAACACUAACUGGAGGACCGAACCGACUAAUGUUGAAAAAUUAGCGGAUGACUUGUGGCUGGGGGUGAAAGGCCAAUCAAACCGGGAGAUAGCUGGUUCUCCCCGAAAGCUAUUUAGGUAGCGCCUCGUGAAUUCAUCUCCGGGGGUAGAGCACUGUUUCGGCAAGGGGGUCAUCCCGACUUACCAACCCGAUGCAAACUGCGAAUACCGGAGAAUGUUAUCACGGGAGACACACGGCGGGUGCUAACGUCCGUCGUGAAGAGGGAAACAACCCAGACCGCCAGCUAAGGUCCCAAAGUCAUGGUUAAGUGGGAAACGAUGUGGGAAGGCCCAGACAGCCAGGAUGUUGGCUUAGAAGCAGCCAUCAUUUAAAGAAAGCGUAAUAGCUCACUGGUCGAGUCGGCCUGCGCGGAAGAUGUAACGGGGCUAAACCAUGCACCGAAGCUGCGGCAGCGACACUA